CUGAAGCCUGCAGGGGUGCCUCCUCUGCCGGAUCUGGCCAAGCCUCCUGCCAGUCGAGGCCCUUUACCUUCCAGUCACACCAAGAACUAAAACAGGAUCAGCCAAAGCUUUUGAAGAAACCCAAACUGGACAGACAGUUACUGAAUUUUUGUAAUGUCCGAGGCUUCCAGGAGGAGUGACACAUAUCUCUGCUGGAUGAGCUCACAGUUCCAAUGAGAAGAUACAAGCUGAAAGAUUGCAGCAGAACUGGGAAGUGAAAGCACGGAGAGGCUGUGGGACAUGGAGGAGGGGCGGUAAGAUUGAGAAAGAGGUAACAGUUGGGGUGACUUUGGACCUGAGACCUGGGCAGGCAUAAGAAGUCUCACUCUCUAUUCCAUUCUUGGCAGGGGAUGUUUCUUUGUACCAGGUAGCUUUGCGCUUGUUUUGUUCCAUAAAAGUAAAUCUCUGUUCACUAAGGAAUUAUGGUAGUGAAUGGUGACUCUCCGGAAUUAUAGGGCUAAUUCCAAAAUAAUCUUAGUUUUAUUCCCCCACAUUGUAAUAUUAACACUUGGGAAUUUUGUUUAUCGCGAUGUUUAAUAAUUUGGCCAGCAGAGGGCACUGCAUACUGACAGUCUCUCCACACCAGUCGCUCAAAUCCUCAAGAGUUCCCGAAGUGUUAGGCUUAACUCAGGGGUGUUUGCAAGUGCUUUGCUCUUCUGUUUCAGACAUAAACAUAUGUCAGAAAUUAAAAGAGGGUUGUGAAGCAGGAAAUUAGAUUAACAGUAGCAUAUAAUUUCCCUCUAUUUGUUAAUAAAGAGAAAAAAUAUUGGUAUGUACACCCAUGUCUACAGGGUUUUAAAUGUAGCUGUAUUAAUUAAUGUAUUAAUAAUAUGAUAACACUACUUCUUGCAUAAAUCAACAUAACUUCUAAAUUCUCUUUGAAAAUAUUUUUGGUUUUAUAUUGUGGUUUAAUUCUCAAUCAUAAACUAAAAAGUAAAAAAACCUGAUGCCUAAUGUUAUACUUUCUUUCAAACCUUAAGAUAGAUAUUAUUGUUUGAAUAGUAUCAAAAUAUUGUGGUUCUGCACAAAUGCUUUUUAUAACUUCUUACGAUGAUAUUUUAAUUUCUAUUUCCACAUAUGGAUAUGAGUAUUCGAAAACAUUUGACGCACAAUUUUCUUCUCUUCAUCUCCCCAUUAUAAAAAUGUAAAGGUGUGUUUUAAAACCCGUUUGCUCUUGGUUAAACUUGACAAUGUGGAGACCCCUUUGUUAGCUGGUCCUAUGAGUUAAUGCACAGCCUUUGUGUUUUUCAUUUAAGG
RNAcentral lists this long non-coding RNA (1296 nucleotides) under Homo sapiens (human). Its description in RNAcentral is "long non-coding RNA NONHSAT177955.1". The record is from RNAcentral. Lineage: Eukaryota; Metazoa; Chordata; Mammalia; Primates; Hominidae.